Molecule: small nucleolar RNA, 78 nt
Organism: Cavia aperea (Brazilian guinea pig)
Lineage: Eukaryota; Metazoa; Chordata; Mammalia; Rodentia; Caviidae
Source: Ensembl
CAAUGUAAAAUAAAACCUCUUUUGCAACCCGGAACUCAUUGUUCAGCUUGAGUUUUGAUACAUAUAAAAAGAAAUAUU